This 259-nucleotide ribosomal RNA is filed under the name uncultured bacterium. Its description in RNAcentral is "partial 16S ribosomal RNA". It matches the Rfam family "Bacterial small subunit ribosomal RNA", at positions 793 to 1055 of the family's 1533-position model. The record is from RNAcentral.
GUCCACGCCCUAAACGAUGAUUACUCGAUGUUGGCGAUAUACUGUCAGCGUCUUAGCGAAAGCGUUAAGUAAUCCACCUGGGGAGUACGCUCGCAAGAGUGAAACUCAAAGGAAUUGACGGGGUCCGCACAAGCGGUGGAGUAUGUGGUUUAAUUCGAUGAUACGCGAAGAACCUUACCAAGGUUAGAAUGUUUUGGACCGCUGCUGAAAGGUGGCUUUCUCUUCGGAGACCGAUUGCAAGGUGCUGCAUGGCUGUCGU